This 483-nucleotide ribosomal RNA is filed under the name uncultured bacterium. RNAcentral describes it as "bacterial SSU rRNA". It matches the Rfam family "Bacterial small subunit ribosomal RNA", at positions 505 to 983 of the family's 1533-position model. The record is from RNAcentral.
GUGCCAGCAGCCGCGGUAAUACGUGAUCUCCAAGCGUUAUCCGGAUUUAUUGGGCGUAAAGCGUCCGUAGGUGUCUUGCCAAGUUUUCUGUUAAAUCUCUAGGGCUCAACCUUAGAACUGCGGAAAAAACUGGCGAGAUUGAGGGCGUUGGGGGCUGGAGGAACGGUCGGUGUAGGGGUGAAAUCCGUUGAUAUCGACCGGAACACCAAAAGCGAAGGCAUCCAGCUAAUGACGACCCUGACACUGAGGGACGAAAGCGUGGGGAGCAAAAGGAUUAGAUACCCUUGUAGUCCACGCUGUAAACUAUGGACACUGGCUAUAUGAAGUGUCGACCCUUCGAGUGGCGAAGCUAACGCGUUAAGUGUCCCGCCUGGGAAGUACAGGCCGCAAGGCUAAAACUCAUAGGAGUAGACGGGGGCCUCACACAAGCGGUGGACCAUGUUGCUCAAUGUGACGAUAAACGAAGAACCUUACCAAGGCUUG